GACGAACGCUGGCGGCGUGCCUAACACAUGCAAGUCGAACGGAAAGGCCCUGCUUUUGUGGGGUGUUCGCGUGGCGAACGGGUGAGUAACACGUGAGUAACCUGCCCUUGACUUUGGGAUAACUUCAGGAAACUGGGGAUAAUACCGGAUAGGAGCUCCUGCUGCAUGGUGGGGGUUGGAAAGUUUCGGCGGUUGGGGAUGUACUCGCGGCUUAUCAGCUUGUUGGUGGGGUAGUGGCUUACCAAGGCUUCGACGGGUAGCCGGCCUGAGAGGGUGAACGGCGACAUUGGGACUGAGGGACGGACCAGUCUCGAACGGGAGGCAACGGGCGGGAGUAUGACACAGUGAGCGGGAGUCUGUGACGGAGAUGCCGGGAGCGUGAAGACGGCUUACGGGUGGUGAACCGCUGUCGCUUGUGACGUAGCGUUAGUGACGGUAAUGAGUAAAGAAGCACCGGCUAACUACGUG
RNAcentral lists this ribosomal RNA (468 nucleotides) under uncultured bacterium. RNAcentral's name for it is "partial 16S ribosomal RNA". It matches the Rfam family "Bacterial small subunit ribosomal RNA", at positions 28 to 507 of the family's 1533-position model. The record is from RNAcentral.